AUUCGAAAAUCUGUGGCGGCGACAUCGCGAGCACGUAACCCACAUCAACAUCAAAAUGUAAAUCCAGAAUCGGACUCAUCCAUCAGCAGCCGGCCACGCCAAAGGAAGAAUGCACCGACAAGACAACCGAUCAAGAUAGACAGCUUUACACUUCUACGGACAGAAUGCAAACAACGCGUUCCCCAUUCAAGGCGAUGGACAGCGGGCCCGCACAAAAAGAAAGGGCGAACUUAAAAAAGCGACGCAUCGAAAAUACACCUAAGAUAGAGAGAGGGGUAGAAUCCUUUACAACGAAACCCAAACAAGGGGAAAUCUACUGAAAACCUUACAGUAAAGUAAAAUAGGGGUAAGGGGAUAUUUUAAGGAGGGAUUGCUAACUAGGAAGCUGGGGGAGUGGCCUGAUGUAAGAAAUCAAUGAUUUCAGCCGCCCCCUCGAAGAGUUUCCUGUGUUCUCUCGUACAUUUACCUUAAAACUGAUUUUUUUGCACGCGCCCUCAAUAAAAAAACUUUUCCGCCUUUUUUCCACGGAAGAAAAAAAAUCAUUUUCGCCUUCGGCCGCAUAAACAAACAAUCGGAGGAUGCUCCGACCCCCGAGAAGACUUCGCAUAAUUCAUAAUGUAAAUUACUAAAACACCCCAUUAAUUAAAGCCGUGAUUUCUAACACGAACAUUAAGAAUAUAUUUCAUGCCUUUGUAGGUAUACUUACGGCAAGUCAAAAGUUAUAACUCCUAAGUUUAUGUAAUUGCCCUGGAACGAAGGAACUUGAAAGUCAUAAAUUUUGGUUUAUAAUUAUACGAUGUUAUAUACGACUUUCUUACCCGUUCGCGUCGCGACUUUUUCGAGCGCCCCUCCGCCGAGCGCGUGUUCAGUUUUUGGGGUUGGAAAUUGUAAGUCAACUGCCUGCUUAGAUUUUUCAGCUCCAAACGACGACACCGGUCGCGUCGUACAGUGCAGGAGAACUUGCCGAUGAUCCCUCGUAUACUCACCCAUUCCAGUUUAGCUUACAUUUUUUUUAUCACUCCACCUCGUACAAUAACAUCGGAACUUGCCGGUGCACCCUCGUAUACUCUCCCAGUCCGGUCAUCAAACUUCACGACAUUACCUCGUACAGAACUUGCCGGUUCACCCUCGUAUGCUGUUUCGGACUACUCUCUCCGCGCGAACUUUAAAGCUCUGGGACGUUCAUGUCACCAACACAACAAAAAAUACUUUUUACGUUCUUUUUUCGUCAUUUUUCAUUUGCUUAAAAUUCGAAUUGGUUGUCACAUUUACGUCAUUUUUUUUGUUCACAAUACCAAAUAUAGAAAAGUCAGUUUAGGUAUAUAAUAAUAGACAAUAAAAGGGACAAAGAUUCCAAAUUGGUACUUUUCACGUUAUUUUUUCGUCAUUUUUCAUUUGAGCUAUGUUUAUAAAUGGGAUUAGAAGAUAGAAAAAUUGGUCCUUUUUACGUCAAACUUUCGUCGAAAACCUGAAAUAAGCAUCAGAAAGCGUUGAAACAGAAUUACAGACAAUGGUUCUUGUUACGUCAUUUUUUCGUCAUUUUUCAUUUGAUCUAUGUUUAUAAAUGGGAUUAGAAGAUAGAAAAAUUGGUCCUUUUUACGUCAAACUUUCGUCGAAAACCUGAAAUAAGCAUCAGAAAGCGUUGAAACAGAAUUACAGACAAUGGUUCUUGUUACGUCAUUUUUUCGUCAUUUUUCAUUUGAUCUAUGUUUAUAAAUGGGAUUAGAAGAUAGAAAAAUUGGUCCUUUUUACGUCAAACUUUCGUCGAAAACCUGAAAUAAGCAUCAGAAAGCGUUGAAACAGAAUUAAAGACAAUGGUUCUUGUUACGUCAUUUUUUCGUCACAAACUAGUUAUGUUUCACUAAAGUAAAGCACAAAAAAUUUAUUCGUUGGUGAUUUCGGGAUUCAAAAAUAUCAGAAUCACGCCAAGCUUGAGAUUCGGAUAUGUUCCAUAAACAGGUCAUAUUUACGUCAAUUUUGUGAUCGUGCCCAAGUGCAGAAAAAGCAGUUUAGAUUAACAAUAGAAGACAGUAAAAGAUAAAAAGGACAAAGAUUCCGAAUUGGUACUUUUACGUUAUUUUUUCGUGAUUUUUCAUUUGGAGAUGCUCAUAAAAGGAUAAACCAAGCGCAAGUACUAACAAAUUGGUCCUUUUUACGUCAAAUGUUCGUCGAAAACUUGAAAGAAGCAUCAGAAAGUGUUGAAACAGAAUUAAAGACAAUGGUUCUUGUUACGUCAUUUUUUCGUCACAAACUGGUUUUGUUUCAUUAACCUAAAGCACAAAAAAAUGAUUCGUUGGUGAUUUCUGGAUUCAAAAAUAGUUGCGACUAUAUUUAAUUGAAUCAGUAUCGGUGAAUCCCUUCGUUAAGCUUGAGAUUCGAUAUGUUCCAUAAACAGGUCAUAUUUACGUCAUUUUUUGAAACACGCCCAAAUGUAGAAAAAACAAUUUAGGCGAAUAAUAUGACAAUAAAGGAUAACAAUGACAAAGACUCCGAAUUGGUACUUUUUACGUUAUUUCUGCGUCAUUUUCAUUUGAGCUAAAUUGAUAAGAACGUACAAAAAUUGGUUCUUUUUACGUCAAACUUUCGUCGAAAACAUGAAAAAAGCACCAGAAAGCGUUGAAAGAGAAUUAAAGACCGUGGCUCUUGUUACGUCAUAUUUUCGUCACCAACUAGCUUUGUUUCAUUACCCUAAAGCAAAAAAAUUGAUGAUUUUUAGAUUCAAAAAUAGUUCCAACUAAAUUAAUUUUAAUCAGGAUCGAUGAAUCCCUACGCUCAGCUUGAGAUUCGGAUAUGUUCCAUAAACAGGUCAUAUUUACGUCAUUUUUUGUGAUCACGCCCAAAUGUAACAGUUUAGGUAAAUAAUAAUAGACAAUAAAGAAUGUAGGAACAAAAAUUCCGAAUUGGUACUUUUUACGAUAUUUUUUAUUUGAAAAUAGAUAAGAACGUACAAACCUUGUGUAGAAACCUGAGCUAGUUCUCGACGGCACCGCCAGGUGUGCAAACACAAAUUGGUCAUUUUUCCGUCACCAUUUCGUCGAGAGUCUGAAAGAAGCGCCAAAAAACGUAGGCAACCGAUUUAAACGCAAUACGUCAUUUUUUUGAUCAUAAAUUAGUUUUGAUUCACUAGCAACAAGUAACAACAAAAAUUGAUUCGUUAGAGGUGAUUUUUCGGAUUCAAAAAUAGUUGCAACUACAAUUUAAUUUAGUCCCUGUGAAAGGACUAGUAUAUCCCUACGCUAAGGCCGAGAUUCGAAUAUGUUCCGUGAACAGGUCACGUUUACGUCAUUUUUUUUGUGAUCAAAAUAGCAGUUUCCGAAUUGGUACUUUUAACGUUAUUUUUUCGUCAUGUUUUAUUUGGAGGUAUUUUUAUAAUUGGAUAAGAAAGUGCAGGUGCUUGUACCAGUUCGUUAAAAGUCGACGGUCCCACCAGGUCUGCAUACAUUGAUCCUCUACGUCAAAUUUUCGUCGAAAGCCUGCGUCAGAAAGAUGAUGACCUUUGUUACGUCAUUUUUUCGAGCCAACAAUAAUUUUGAAAGCGUACCUCGCCGUUAGGAAUAAUUUAAAAAAGUAAUCAACUAAUUCAAUUUAAUCCAUGCGAAAGGAGCUGUGAAUCCCUACGGGACAGGUCAUAUUCACGUCAUUUUUGGUGAUCAGGCCCAAAUAUAGAACUAGACAAUGAUAAAUAGAAAGAAAAAAUUUUGGGAUUGGUUGUUUCUACGUCAUUUUUUCGUCUUAUCUGUUCCAUAAUCGCUACCAAAAAGUGACGUUUACGUAAUUUCUUCGGUUUUAAUUUAAACAGAAAAAAACAUCAGUUAAGUAAUUCAAAACGUGAAAAAAGCAAAGAUUUUUACGGCAAAAAUUUAGUCCAUUUUACGUCAGAAGGGCCAUUUGUAAGAUAAAACGAUUUUUUACAGAACAAGCUGUUACGUUACAGUUGCAUUUUCAGAAUUUUUUUAAAAUUAUUUUAUUGGAUCGUAGCAUUAGUCUUUUUCUCGUCACCAUCCCAAAUGACUAUUAUUAAUUAUCAAAAUCGGUACAGUAGCCUCGCGAUAAAAUUCCCUACGUCACGUUAUACAUCUCUCCAAGCAAACUUAGAAAAGUAUCAGAACCUGGUCAUUCUUACGUCAUUAUCCUAAAAAGUCUAUUCAAAAAUAAUUUCAUGGAUCCCAGGCUAAUAGAAAAAGUAGUGUUGCCACGUUUAUAAAUAUAAAAAUCAUUUCAAAAACACAAAAAUCUAGCAAGCGGAUUUUUACGUCAUUUUCUCAUCACUAGUCCAAUAGCUUGUGCAUGUGUGAAUCAGAUUAUUCUGUUCAGCACUACAUUAAAAAAAUGUUUACAAAGAAUCUCAUUGAUCCAAUUGAAGUAGUAAAAAAUAGAAGAACCUCAGUGUGGCUAUAAUUUCAAAAUCUGGAAAAUUGAUCAUUUUGUAGCCUAAUAAAUGUUGGGAAUUGCUCGCGGAAAGUGCUCUGAAUUUUGUCAUCAGCCUAAAGAGAGCUUUCAAAAGACAUUUGAUUGGUCCCAAAUUAAUCAAAAAACCAUUCCGGUGUUUAAAAAUAUGAAAACUUCAAUUGAAGUCAGUUUCGUUUCUAAUUAUGAGAAUAAUUUCAGGUCAUUUUUACGUCAUUUUGUUGUUACUAGCACAGAAUUUAUUGCAUGUGGCGUUUCAAAACUGUUCAACUGACCUCACACCGCGCAAAGAAUCCCUUUCACGUCACAUUUUCGUCGCCAACUUACGAAAAGGUCUAAAGCUACCGUUGGGCUAUGGCAUUCGUACCGAGAAAUUUAUAUUCAAUGGCCAUCCAAACAAAAUACUUGAGAGAAUAUCAAGCUGAUCUAGUGAAUUGGUCCUUUUUACGUCAAUUAUUCGUCACAAACCUAAAAAAUUAGAAAUCUAGAUAUCGGAUAGUCAAUUGUUUGUCAGAAACCUAAUUCGUGGAGAGCCGGUAUUUGAAACAAAUUUCAAAACGU
This is a long non-coding RNA of Photinus pyralis (common eastern firefly), 4968 nucleotides long. RefSeq lists it as uncharacterized. The transcript is spliced from 2 exons. Lineage: Eukaryota; Metazoa; Arthropoda; Insecta; Coleoptera; Lampyridae. The record is from RefSeq and is a predicted model, not a curated record.